This 836-nucleotide ribosomal RNA is filed under the name uncultured bacterium. RNAcentral's name for it is "bacterial SSU rRNA". It matches the Rfam family "Bacterial small subunit ribosomal RNA", at positions 65 to 869 of the family's 1533-position model. The record is from RNAcentral.
AACUCUGGUAUUGAUUGGUGCUUGCAUCAUGAUUUACAUUUGAGUGAGUGGCGAACUGGUGAGUAACACGUGGGAAACCUGCCCAGAAGCGGGGGAUAACACCUGGAAACAGAUGCUAAUACCGCAUAACAACUUGGACCGCAUGGUCCAAGUUUGAAAGAUGGCUUCGGCUAUCACUUUUGGAUGGUCCCGCGGCGUAUUAGCUAGAUGGUGGGGUAACGGCUCACCAUGGCAAUGAUACGUAGCCGACCUGAGAGGGUAAUCGGCCACAUUGGGACUGAGACACGGCCCAAACUCCUACGGGAGGCAGCAGUAGGGAAUCUUCCACAAUGGACGAAAGUCUGAUGGAGCAACGCCGCGUGAGUGAAGAAGGGUUUCGGCUCGUAAAACUCUGUUGUUAAAGAAGAACAUAUCUGAGAGUAACUGUUCAGGUAUUGACGGUAUUUAACCAGAAAGCCACGGCUAACUACGUGCCAGCAGCCGCGGUAAUACGUAGGUGGCAAGCGUUGUCCGGAUUUAUUGGGCGUAAAGCGAGCGCAGGCGGUUUUUUAAGUCUGAUGUGAAAGCCUUCGGCUCAACCGAAGAAGCGCAUCGGAAACUGGGAAACUUGAGUGCAGAAGAGGACAGUGGAACUCCAUGUGUAGCGGUGAAAUGCGUAGAUAUAUGGAAGAACACCAGUGGCGAAGGCGGCUGUCUGGUCUGUAACUGACGCUGAGGCUCGAAAGUAUGGGUAGCAAACAGGAUUAGAUACCCUGGUAGUCCAUACCGUANACGAUGAAUGCUAAGUGUUGGAGGGUUUCCGCCCUUCAGUGCUGCAGCUAACGCAUUAAGCAUUC